CGGGCCUGUAGUGCAGUGAAGAACUGGGGGAUAGAAGUGUAUGACAUCUUUGUUGUUCUUAAGGAGUUCAGGACUGCUUUUGAACCAUUAUCGAAAUGAUCAACAGAGUAGCAGAGUCACCAAUAGUACAUCAUGUGAAAUGCCAGGCUGGAUGAAUCACAAGCUGGAAUCAAAAUUGCCAGGAGAAAUAUCAAUAACCUCAGAUAUGCAGAUGAUACCACCUAAUGGUAGAAAGCCUACCACCCUAAUUGCAGGAUGAUACCACCCUAAUGGUAGAGAGCUUCUUGAUGAGGAUGAAAGA
Molecule: long non-coding RNA, 301 nt
Organism: Dama dama (fallow deer)
Lineage: Eukaryota; Metazoa; Chordata; Mammalia; Artiodactyla; Cervidae
Exons: 3
Source: RefSeq, a predicted model, not a curated record